This is a long non-coding RNA of Mustela erminea (ermine), 218 nucleotides long. RefSeq lists it as uncharacterized. The record is from RefSeq and is a predicted model, not a curated record. The transcript has 3 exons. NCBI's taxonomy places the organism in Eukaryota, Metazoa, Chordata, Mammalia, Carnivora, Mustelidae.
CGGCGCGUCCAGCCCUUUACCUCCAGGCUGUGCAAAGCCAGGAGGGCGAGGGAGCGGGGAGAGGAGGAACGAGUCUGGCAGAUAAGGUGUCAUCUGGUCUGAAUUAUUCUGGAAGACAGGAGAGGUGUGGCUUUUCCCAUCUCCCGUGGCCAGCUAAUACACAGUGACUACUGAUGAUGAAUAUAUAAAAGAGAAGUGCCAACUGAAAUGGAAAAUAG